Acanthosepion pharaonis is the source of this 100-nucleotide non-coding RNA. The record is from the annotation of a GenBank genome assembly. Lineage: Eukaryota; Metazoa; Mollusca; Cephalopoda; Sepiida; Sepiidae.
CGUUGAAGCAUCAGUUACCGUAUGAUCACCAAAGUUAAGCAACGUCGAUUCUGGUAAGUACCUAGAUGGGUAACCGUUUGGGAAUACCAUGUGCUGUAAG